GCCCUUGUAGCUCAGCGGAUGAGAGCGCCUCGCUACGAACGAGGAGGCCGCAGGUUCGAAUCCUGCCAAGGGUGC
This 75-nucleotide transfer RNA is filed under the name Dactylosporangium sucinum. RNAcentral's name for it is "tRNA-Arg". It matches the Rfam family "tRNA". From Rfam's summary of the family: Transfer RNA (tRNA) molecules are approximately 80 nucleotides in length. The record is from RNAcentral. Lineage: Bacteria; Bacillati; Actinomycetota; Actinomycetes; Micromonosporales; Micromonosporaceae.